Molecule: ribosomal RNA, 497 nt
Filed under: uncultured bacterium
Lineage: Bacteria
Description: partial 16S ribosomal RNA
Rfam family: Bacterial small subunit ribosomal RNA
Source: RNAcentral
GAUGAACGCUGGCGGCGUGCCUAAUACAUGCAAGUCGAGCGAACGGACGAGAAGCUUGCUUCUCUGAUGUUAGCGGCGGACGGGUGAGUAACACGUGGAUAACCUACCUAUAAGACUGGGAUAACUUCGGGAACCCUUAUCUAAUACCGGAUCAUAUUUUGAACGGCAUGGUUCAUAAGUGAAAGACGGUCUUGCUGUCACUUAUAGAUGGUUCCGCGCUGCAUUAGCUAGUUGGUAAGGUAACGGCCUACCAAGGCAACGAUGCGUAGCCGACCUGAGAGGGUGAUCGGCCACACUGGAACUGAGACACGGUCCAGACUCCUACGGGAGGCAGCAGUAGGGAAUCUUCCGCAAAGGGCGAAAGCCUGACGGAGCAACGCCGCGUGAGUGAUGAAGGUCUUCGGAUCGUAAAACUCUGUUAUUAGGGAAGAACAUAUGUGUAAGUAACUGUGCACAUCUUGACGGUACCUAAUCAGAAAGCAACGGCUAACUACGUG